This is a non-coding RNA of Acanthosepion pharaonis, 113 nucleotides long. Lineage: Eukaryota; Metazoa; Mollusca; Cephalopoda; Sepiida; Sepiidae. The record is from the annotation of a GenBank genome assembly.
UUACGGCCAUAUCACUUUGACACACCGGUUCCCGCGCAAUCAUCAAAUUUAAGCGACGUCGAGCCGGUCAGUAUCAGGAUGGGUGACCCCGUGGAAAUAACAGGUGCGGUAAG